Molecule: long non-coding RNA, 1185 nt
Organism: Mesoplodon densirostris (Blainville's beaked whale)
Lineage: Eukaryota; Metazoa; Chordata; Mammalia; Artiodactyla; Ziphiidae
Exons: 3
Source: RefSeq, a predicted model, not a curated record
UCGCGCCAGAGGUGAGAGGUCGGCAACCGGGAUUCCGCGGAGGAAGUGUAGGAUUCUUGGCCCUUGGCCAGGUAAUUUGACUAGACUGCGCAAAGAAAGAAUCGAUCACUGGAAGCAAAAGCUUUCUGUUCACCACAGGUGAACAGCUCUUUCCACCAGAAAGGAUAAACAUGAUUUUCCACCUGGGCUCCCCAGCUGGCUCCUGGUACUUGGUAUGAUGGAGAGUACCGUGGUUAUGCAUGAACGUUGGGUUACAAGCACCCUGGCAUCAGAACCUCUGUUAAACAUUUUCGCCCACAGCACCUGAUGGUGUGCUACACAUGGAAAAUACUUGUUGACUCAAGACUGUCUCUCUGCAGAGGAGUCUGGUGGCCAAGGGCCAAGGAAUGCCAGGAGCUAAGAAGCCAUUCAGGAGGAAGACGCUUGAACAAGGUCAGGGGUGCAUAGGAGUGCAGGAGGAGACUGUAAGUUGUCACAGGUGCGCCAGCACCAUUAUACAAGUGCUAAAGAAUGAAUGGGGCUGGGCACUGAGCAUCAGUGCCGCUCACCUCGCAAGAAAGGCAGUGGACCACACAGUGCUUGCCUCCUGAGGGAAGAACAGAACCACCUGUGAAGUUGCAAACCUGAAUCUGAUCAAACCUCCGACUUCCAAUUCACAGGAAAUACAGAGAGCAGAGAAACGUGUUAAACAGCACCGUGAGAUGCAACCAGCACAGUCCAGAUGCUGGGAACUUUACAUACAGGAUGAGCAACCAAGUUGCAAGGAAAAGUAAAAUGAUAGAGGUGGAGAGGGAACCUACAGAUCUAAGAAUACUUAAAAUAUAUAUCAACCCCUAACGGUGCGUGGACCUUAUAUGGAUUCUGAAUCAAAGAAACAAACGGUGACGGGAAAAAUUUAUGAGACCAGUGACUGGAUAUUUGAUAUUAAGGAAUUAAUGUUAACUUUUUAAGGUGUGACAGUGGUCAAAGUCCUUAUUUUUUAAGGACACAUACUGAAAUAGUUAUAGCUUACAUGGUAUGAUGUCUGGUAUUUGCUUCAAAAUAACCCAGGAAGGGGUAAGUGUGUGGGAGUGUAAGUAAAAAGAUUGAGCACUAGUUGAUAAUCGUUGAAGCUGGAUGAUGGGAAUUAUUUUAUACUAUUCUGGCACUUUCUCAAAGUGUAUGUUUGAAAAUUGCCAUAAUAAA